Molecule: RNA transcript, 5116 nt
Organism: Folsomia candida
Lineage: Eukaryota; Metazoa; Arthropoda; Collembola; Entomobryomorpha; Isotomidae
Gene: GABA-B-R1
Gene name: gamma-aminobutyric acid type B receptor subunit 1
Exons: 18
Source: RefSeq, a predicted model, not a curated record
UGAACACCACCAAAAUCUUUCCCUCAUUCUCUCUUCCUUUUCCUCCUUAUCAGCAUCACCACCACCAGUACUUCCCGCUGCCUCUCAGGGUGCACGUUAUCCACGAGAGAGAGACAGAGCGAGGGGGGAGCAGAUAAGCAUGUUCUUGACGUGAGGACGAAGAGGAGGAGAUGUACUACCAAGUGAAAGGUUGUGCAAUCACUGCCCCCAAGACUCCUCGCGCGUCAUGAGCCCUGCACAACAACAACAAGUCCACAAAGAUCCCCUUCCACGAGGACAAGGACAACCAAAUGUGACGAUACUAUCAGUGAUCCUCGUGAGACAGUCGUGUCACCCAAGUUUUUGCUGUUCUUGUUGAUCCCAAACGUUAAACUUUGGUGCUGGUGGUGAAAGUGGGAAGAAAAGUCGGACACUGAGUGGCCAACGACUCGCUGACUGAUUCACUGACUGACUUGAUACGAAAGUGUGUGUACGUGAGGGUGCGUGGGGAGAAAGUGUACGAGUGGGGGUGAGAGAGUUGAUGGGUGGAACUAAGUGGUCGGGUGGCGGUGGGCGACGAGGAGGUCGGAGAUGAGAAUUUGGGGGUGGAGUGGAAGUGGGGGCGAGAUGUUGGGUGGGAGCAGGUGGGUGGGGUUCCUCCUGGCGUGGGAAGUUUUCACCUGCCUAAUCCUCCCGCAUCCGAGGGGGGCGGAGGGGAAGCCCAAGGAGCGAAGGCGCGAACUCCACCUCGGAGGCAUCUUUCCCAUCAACGGUACGGGGGGUUGGCAGGGGGGACAGGCGUGUCAACCCGCAGCUAAGAUGGCCCUGGACGAUGUCAACAACAACAAGGACCUCCUCCCGAACUACAAGCUAACCCUCCAUUGGAAUGACAGCGAGUGCGAGCCGGGUCUGGGGGCAGCAGUGAUGUACGACCUCCUCUACAACGACCCCAUCAAACUCAUGCUCCUCGCCGGAUGCUCCACCGUCUGCACUACCGUCGCAGAAGCUGCCAAAAAGUGGAAUUUAGUCGUGUUGUGCUACGGAGCGAGCAGUCCAGCCCUUUCGGAUCGGAACCGAUUCAAAACCUUGUUCAGAACCCACCCAUCCGCCACCGUGCACAAUCCGACGAGAAUCAAGCUCAUGAAAAAGUUUGGCUGGUCUCGAGUCGCCAUUCUGCAACAGGCAGAAGAAGUGUUCAUUUCUACAGUGGAAGACUUGGAGGAGAGGUGCAAGCAAGAGAAGAUAGAGAUUGUCACCCGUCAAUCUUUCCUUACGGAUCCCACGGAAGCGGUCCGCAAUCUAAAAAGACAGGACGCCCGCAUUGUAGUCGGACUCUUUUACGUAGUGGCUGCGAGGCGCGUUCUUUGUGAGAUUUAUAAGCAGAGGCUCUUCGGAAAGUCGUAUGUUUGGUUCUUCAUUGGAUGGUAUGAGGACAACUGGUACGAGAACGGGUUGGAGGCUGAGGGGAUCAACUGCACCAAAGAGGAGAUGCGCAUGGCAGCAGAAGGUCAUCUCACCACCGAAGCCGUCAUGUGGUAUCAGGACACCAAGAGGACGACUUCGGGCAUGACGACGGACGACUUCCGCAACCGACUGCACGCCGAGUUGAAGAAGAAAGGUUUUGACAUUGAUAACGGGCGCUACCCUGAAGGGUACCAAGAGGCUCCGCUGGCAUACGACGCAGUAUGGGCCGUAGCUCUAGCCUUCAACCGGACGAUCACACAACUUGCCAAGAAGGGAAAGAGACUCGAAGACUUCACCUACACCAACAGGGAGAUUGCGGAGGAAAUUUACAAUGCUAUGGACGAAACUGCCUUCCUGGGCGUCUCGGGUCGGACGGCAUUCAGCGAGCAGGGUGACCGCAUAGCUCUGACUCAGGUGGAACAAAUGAUUGAUGGCAAGUACAAUCUUCAGGGCUACUACGACAUCGAGAACUUUAACCUCACGUGGUAUGGGAAGGAGCAGUGGGUUGCUGGGAAGGUGCCGCAGGACAGGACGAUCGAAAAGACUGUACUCAGAACGGUGUCCCUCUCACUUUACAUUUCCAUGAGCACGGUGGCCGGGGUUGGAAUCGUCUGGGGACUUGUCCUCAUCCUCUUUACGUACACAUACAGAGACCGCAAGAUAAUUGAGCUGUCGCACCCUGUGACGAACACGCUCAUGCUUGUCGGUCACAUCCUCUGCUUCCUCACCGUCUUCUUGGUGGGGUUGGAUGGUCAGUUUGUGUCGGAGCGACUCUUUGGGGUGAUGUGCAGCAUCCGCAAGUGGAUUCUCUCAAUUGGAUUCACGCUCGGGUACGGAGCAAUGUUCUCAAAGGUUUGGAGGGUUCAUAGACUCACCACCAAAAACAAGUCUGCCACCAAGCACAAGAUACAGCCGUGGAAGUUGUACUUGUUGGUUGCGUCGCUGGUUGCCGUAGAGGUGAUAUACUUGUCUAUUUGGACCUUGGUGGACCCUCUUCGACGAGUGGAGGAGCUCUUCCCCCCCGAAGUUCCUAUCGACACUGAUGAAGACGUUCGCAUUCGACCCAUCCUCGAACACUGCGAGUCCCACUACAACAACAUUUGGUUGGGGAUCACAUACUCGUUUAAGGGGUUACUCCUCGUGCUCGGACUCUUCCUCUCGUACGAGACGCGUUCCCUGAAAGUUCGCCACAUUAACGACUCGCGCCUCGUAGCCAUGUCGAUCUACAACGUGGCCGUCCUCUGUCUCAUCACGACCCCCGUUACCAUGAUCAUCUCCUCCCAGCAGGAUGCUUCCUUCGCCUUUGUCGCACUAGCCAUAAUCUUCUCUUCCCUCAUCACCAUGGGGCUGGUGUUUGUUCCGAAGGUGAUCGCCGUGUGGCAGGAGGGGGCGGAGCGGUCUGACCGGUCCUCUGCCCCCGAGGGAGGCACGACCAAGGAGGACGAAGAGCGGUACGGGAAACUUCUGGGCGAGAACGAGACGCUGCAGCAGAUUCUGGGUCAGAAGGAGGAGCGGCUGAAACUCCUUCGUAACAAGUUGGAGGAAAAGAACGUGGCGCGGAGGAGGGUGGAGGUGGUGUCGGAGGGGGAGCGGCCACCGCCGGUCACCGUCCCUCCAACCACCACCCCCAGGAACAACAAUCUGGAGCAGAUUGAGGUGUGUGGUUCCGUGUAUCAAGAGCCGUCAGAGAGUGGGAUCGGUCAGGGUCUCUCCGUCACGACCAGAACUCCUACAACCACAGACUUUGAGCUUUCCGAGUCUUACCUCUGAGAGGGAAUAACGCUUCUUAUCAAAAAUACAUAGUGUCAACUUAGGCUAAGGUUUCGUCAUAGUGAGUCAGCCACCAGAAGAACCGCUCCUCCGAGGGUGGAUCUCAAUCAAUCCCUGCCCUCAGUGGGGGUGACCUAGCCGGCUGGCUCGUACAGCUUACUUGUCCUCCACUUACAUAAACAGACCUACUACCACUACCACCCAAGUCCAGAGUUAACUAAUGAUCUGAUACGAUGGUCUCAACCCCAGUGUGAUGAGGUGCUCGUCUCCCAAUAAUGAUAAUUAAUAAUAACGCGUCUUGUACAACUAACUAACUGUGUAACUGUAUCGUCAGUUCUCGUAGAGUGUAGCAUUUUACAUGAACGCCAACCAGCCAUUUUUAUGAUGCGAUGCGAUCAACAGUGAUUAGUCUAUCAAAAAAAGUAUAAAACCAUCAGCAAGCAAGCAGGGGGUAUUACUACUACUUUUAGCAACGUCUUAUUACAUAACGCUAACUAGUGGAUAAUAAUAUUGUAAAAUAUGUCAGUGGUUAAUGGAAGGGACGGAGGUAGAGAGAGAAACACGCUUUCACUUUGCAGCAACAGCCCGCACGCGCAUGCACCGUCCCCCACCUGCAGGGACACAUACCGACAAUCAAACCCCACCCACUCUACUCUUCCCCACAAGGAUAACCCACACGGAGAUAAGGAGAGAUAGAAAAAAGUGAGAAAAAGGCAGAGUGGGUAGAAAGACAACUCCCCAACCCAUGUACCCCACCCACCCACUUAUUAAUACUACAUAUUAGUUAUGAGUCGUCACCACCUUCUUUUUACUGAUUACUGUGACACAUCCUGAUACACAUUUAUAGAGAUAUAGCCACUCGGUCAGUAAUAAGAUGACGAAUUCCGUCUUCAACUACCAUGCAAUACAUCCAAAGUCACCUUAACUUGGGACACACGCGAUGAAAAUGAAUACUUCAUAUGUAAUAAUGAAGGUCCAUCAUCAUCAUGUGUGAAUUGAGUACUUUGGGAGGAUGGAGCUGGAUGCAAAAAAGAGCAUGGUCAGAGUUAAGUCAGUGACGAAGAGGAACAUUUGUCAAGAAAUGCAUGUCCAACAAAAGAAGGGUCAAAGUGUCGCCCGACAAGUCUACAACCUGCUCGACGAGAUUCUUACCCUCCCCUCCUCAGAGUCACGACCUCGUAAUAUCAGUCCACCCCACCCAACUCGUACUUCUUAUGCAAUUCAAACACUACUUUCUACUCGCUAUAAUCCUUAUGACGUAAAUAUGAAUGUCCUUCUGGUACUUGAUAGUGGAUGCAUUUUGGAGCUUUGUUCAUCAAUCCUAUAUAAAAAAGAAAUAUUACAUAGAUUGUUGCGGAGGGAGAAGAGUUUAUUGCGAAGAGAUUACAAUUGCGUGCAAGCAACACCACGGCUUUCUUAGUUUUCGUGUCUUCGAUACUACUUUGUAUGUAACCAUGAUUCAAGUGAGUUUACUGUUAUUAUUAAUUAAUUAAUUAAUUAGUAACACAUACACAUAAUGGGAGGAAGUGAAGGAAGAAGACCUUCUCUCUCCUGGUGAGCGUGUAUGUGGGCAUAAAAUGCGUGUGAAAGAGGAGGAAAUCUCGCCACGACUGUGGAAAUAACAUUACAAAACAAAGAUCGGUUUGGCUUUCACCUCGUUCGGACACGAUACGUGCACAGGCAGGCACACUGCACAAUGAUGACGAACCUCUCAAUAAUAAGUGAACAAUGUCUUCUUCUUCUUCUCUUUUUGGUUGCUCAACAAAUUAAAAUGAUGACGACGAUGUGGUAAUGAGACAAACAAACAAAACUUAAACAAUCGAUGUUGAAGAGAGUGGGAAUAUUUCAGUCAACAUAUUUCAAUCUUGUAUUUCUAGUUUUAUUAAUAAAAAGUUAAACAAUA